Molecule: small RNA, 123 nt
Filed under: Marmota monax (woodchuck)
Lineage: Eukaryota; Metazoa; Chordata; Mammalia; Rodentia; Sciuridae
Source: RNAcentral
GCCGGGUGCAGUGGCGCAUACCUGUAAUCCCAGGCUCAGGAGGCUGAGGCAGGAGGAUCAGGAGUUCAAAGCCAGUCUCAGCAAAAGUGAGGUGCUAAGCAACUCAGUGAGACCCUGUCUCUA